Molecule: ribosomal RNA, 252 nt
Filed under: uncultured bacterium
Lineage: Bacteria
Description: partial 16S ribosomal RNA
Rfam family: Bacterial small subunit ribosomal RNA
Source: RNAcentral
UACGGAGGGUGCAAGCGUUAAUCGGAAUUACUGGGCGUAAAGCGCACGCAGGCGGUCUGUCAAGUCGGAUGUGAAAUCCCCGGGCUCAACCUGGGAACUGCAUUCGAAACUGGCGGCUAGAGUCUUGUAGAGGGGGGUAGAAUUCCAAGUGUAGCGGUGAAAUGCGUAGAGAUCUGGAGGAAUACCGGUGGCGAAGGCGGCCCCCUGGGCAAAGACUGACGCUCAGGUGCGAAAGCGUGGGGAGCAAACAGG